ACAAGGUAGCCGUACCGGAAGGUGCGGCUGGAUCACCUCCUUUCUAAGGAGCACCAUUUCCCAGUCGAAUGAACUAGGGAACAUAAAGUAGGCAUCUGUAGUGGGUAUCUACUUGGUGAAUAUGUUUUGUAAAUCCUGUCCACCCCCGUGGAUGGGUAGUCGGCAAAACGUCGGACUGUCAUAAGAAUUGAAACGCUGGCACACUGUUGGGUCCUGAGGCAACACGUUGUGUUGUCACCCUGCUUGGUGGUGGGGUGUGGACUUUGACUUCUGAAUAGUGGUUGCGAGCAUCUAAACAUAGCCUCGCUCGUUUUCGAGU
This 319-nucleotide unclassified non-coding RNA is filed under the name Mycobacteroides abscessus. RNAcentral describes it as "partial may contain 16S ribosomal RNA, 16S-23S ribosomal RNA intergenic spacer, and 23S ribosomal RNA". Lineage: Bacteria; Bacillati; Actinomycetota; Actinomycetes; Mycobacteriales; Mycobacteriaceae. The record is from RNAcentral.